This 274-nucleotide ribosomal RNA is filed under the name uncultured bacterium. RNAcentral's name for it is "partial 16S ribosomal RNA". It matches the Rfam family "Bacterial small subunit ribosomal RNA", at positions 523 to 796 of the family's 1533-position model. The record is from RNAcentral.
AUACGGAGGGUGCAAGCGUUGUUCGGAAUAACUGGGCGUAAAGCGCACGUAGGCGGAAUGUUAAGUUAGAGGUGAAAUCCCAGGGCUCAACCCUGGAACGGCCUUUAAUACUGGCAAUCUAGAGACCGAGAGAGGUGAGUGGAAUUCCGAGUGUAGAGGUGAAAUUCGUAGAUAUUCGGAGGAACACCAGUGGCGAAGGCGGCUCACUGGCUCGGUACUGACGCUGAGGUGCGAAAGCGUGGGGAGCAAACAGGAUUAGAAACCCUAGUAGUCC